This 227-nucleotide unclassified non-coding RNA is filed under the name Hevea brasiliensis (rubber tree). Lineage: Eukaryota; Viridiplantae; Streptophyta; Magnoliopsida; Malpighiales; Euphorbiaceae. The record is from RNAcentral.
GGAGAAUAUCAAGGGGUAGGAAGUCUGGGUAGUAAAAUGUGAUUUUUAGGGACUAAAGAUGAUAUUUUGCAACCAUUUAUGUAAUUCUAGAGUAUGAUGGCUCAAGCAUAAUGCUGUUUCAUGUAAUUCUAGAGUGUGAUGACUCAAACAUAGUGAUGUCUUUUCUUACCACACCCCAUUGUGUUCCUAAUGCUCUUUAAGGGGAGUGACUAGUUGAUUAAUGUUGG